Molecule: long non-coding RNA, 658 nt
Filed under: Ursus maritimus (polar bear)
Lineage: Eukaryota; Metazoa; Chordata; Mammalia; Carnivora; Ursidae
Description: lncRNA (ENSUMAG00000022212.1)
Source: RNAcentral
CGAAGGGUGCCGAGCCAAGCUGACUCAGGGCCCACCCGAGGGUCGAGGCCCUGGGAGGACUUCGGUACUGGACGCCGCUUUCCCUGAACACCCUGAUUCACCAGGAGCCUGCCGCAUCACUGCUUCCUUGACUGCGAUUGCGUCAAGAUCCCGCCGAGGGAAACUAUUGAAGUUAGCUGACAUAAUAAACUGGAAGAACCAUUGUUCAGUCCCAAAGGUGUGAUCAUCCAGUUUACAAGCUCCAAGAUACCAGGAAAGUUAUCAUCCCUAGCAGAGUUGGCUAAAAAAAAUUAGUAGUCCCAAUUAUUGUCUCAUAAUUACUACUCGUGUAAACUACAUUGUACAAUUCAGUCCAUUCUUUGGCACAUUUGUUUUCUGACUUUAUAGUAUAUAAGAAUUUGUCAACGCCUGCUUUCUUAUUUUUAGGCUUUUUUUAAAAGGUUAAAAUUGAGGAGUGCCUGGGUGGCUCAGUAGUUAAGCGUCUGCCUUCAGCUCAGGUCGUGAUCCCAGUGUUCUGGGAUCGAGCCCCGCAUCAGGCUCCCUGCUCAAUGGGAACCCUGCUUCCCCCUCUCCCACUCCCCGUGCUUGUGUUCCCUCUCUCGCUGCCUGUCUCUGUCAGAUAAACAAAUAAAAUCUUUAGGAAAAAAAAAUAAAUACA